GAGAGUCGCCUCGGCCGCUCGCUUUCUCGACUCCCGCCUCGCGCCUCGAUCCUGUUCCGCCUCCCUCGGCCCUCCUGCCCGCCCCCACUCGUCGGCCCUCAGCUCAGAGACCUAAUAGGAUGGGGUCUUAGAGAAACAUCUUUUGAGCCACAGACUUCUUUGUUACCAGAAGGAAAAUGAAAGAAGAAAUUUAAAUACCACUUGAAGAGAGUUUCCUCAUCAGCAAAGUCAGAAAAAGUAUGUACCUGAAGGACUGAUUGUAAGGCUGGGAUGAGAGAAUCCAUGUGAUCAGCCCUCACCAACAGGUGCUGCCCAGUUCAUGAGUGCUGCUGCUGUCCUGCCCAAGUACCCAGCUUGCAGAGUGCCAGAGUUAGAGUCCCAGGGGUGUUCUCCACAGCUGCAUGCUUGAUCCAGGCCUAUCAGCAUCUGAGGAAUACAUCCAAAGAGGGUGAUACUGUGGCAUGAUGGUACCAGGAUUCCAAGUUCAUUCCAGAGAAGAUGGCAAGAUGCAGAGAGGAGGAGUCACGCCUGAAGCCACACAGCUGACAUCAGAGCCAAAGCAUGAGCCUCAGUCUCUCUGACCCAGAGCUACCACCCUUGCUGCCUUGGGAAGAAGGAAGCCCCCUCCUAUUCUAUCCUUGAGCUGCCUUGGCAAGGAGGGGCCCCUUGCUGCCGCCAUCCUCACAGGACACCAUCCACAUGAGGGGAUGAUCAUUGGGUAGAGACUAGAAAUGUACCGAGCAGUGCGCAAAGAAGAUGAGGAGGGUUCUACAGUUUCUCCAGAUACAUACCAUGACAAUUUGUUUUUUUAAAAAAGAAGAAAGCCUGCAGGAAAAAAUCUACAACUUUCAUCAAAUUACUCAGGGAGACUUUAUUCUAAAGAGACUGAAAACGACCAACAUCAAUUUUGACUCCUAUGGGCAUCUGUAAAUAGCUUCAAGGUUUUAAGGUGAAAUGUCAUGUACCAAAAUACACAUUCUGGAGAAGCAGGAAGCUACAGACCAACUUGAGAUGAAAGUCUCAUAUCAAUGUUUUCCCAAGUGUGCUCCUUGGAAUACAGGUUGACAUGAUAUGAUGCCCAGCAAGGGAAACAAAACAUAUUCAUGUUCAAAUUAGUUGGGGAAAUGCUGGACUAAAUAAGGUUUGAUGGGAUUCUUUUUUCUGCAGGACUUCUCAGAAGGGGCUAGAGUAGGCAAAGUUUCCCAGAUUUACCUAAUAAAAGCAUUGUUUCUGUGGGAGUUUCAUUUGUUAUUACAUGUUUCCUGAAUGCAGAUUCAUAGACUAUCCUUUGGGGAACCCUCGUCCUCACGGGAUGUAUGUUCAUGGUGGUGUCUUCGAGUUUGUGCCCUUGUGAAGCAUUCUGGCAGCAAGCAUCUGAACACUUCCAAAAGGGGGCGAUAUUUAGGAGAAAUCGCUCAGCCUGAGUUAGAACAAAUGCAGCUGCUGGUGUCUCUUGGUGCCUGGGAGCCCUAGAGUGUCAGAGGGAGGAGCGUGCACACUGGAACCAGCAGCCUGGUGCUGCGUCUCAGCUCUGUCGCUAACUGGCUAUGCACCUCUGGGCAUGGCACUUAACCCUUCUGAGCCCCAGCCCGCCAUCUGUAAAAAGGGCUUGAUGUGAGGAUUGAAUGAGAUCAUGCAGGGAACACAAUGUCUGGCACUUGGAAGCGUCCACCAUAAAGAGCCAAGGCAGUAGAUGGCCCAGCUGGGUUUGGUCCAGGCAGAGUUUACCCUCUGCCCUGGAGGCUCCAGGAAAUGCUGCCACGUGGCUCCUAUUGCCUUAACCACAUCCGACCUGUUCCUGACAGCUCCCCACAUCUCCAGCUCCUUUGCUGGUGCUCCAGGCACCUCCAAACGUGGCGAGCCCCUCUCCCCUGCCCUCUUGUGGCAGCUGACCUGGC
This is a long non-coding RNA of Homo sapiens (human), 1898 nucleotides long. The record is from Ensembl. NCBI's taxonomy places the organism in Eukaryota, Metazoa, Chordata, Mammalia, Primates, Hominidae.